RNAcentral lists this ribosomal RNA (336 nucleotides) under uncultured bacterium. Its description in RNAcentral is "partial 16S ribosomal RNA". It matches the Rfam family "Bacterial small subunit ribosomal RNA", at positions 338 to 690 of the family's 1533-position model. The record is from RNAcentral.
CCUACGGGGGGCUGCAGUGGGGAAUAUUGCACAAUGGGGGAAACCCUGAUGCAGCGACGCCGCGUGAGUGAAGAAGUAAUUCGUUAUGUAAAGCUCUAUCAGCAGGGAAGAAAAUGACGGUACCUGAGUAAGAAGCCCCGGCUAACUACGUGCCAGCAGCCGCGGUAAUACGUAGGGGGCAAGCGUUAUCCGGAUUUACUGGGUGUAAAGGGAGCGUAGACGGCAGUGCAAGUCUGGAGUGAAAGGCGGGGGCUAAACCCCCGGACUGCUCUGGAAACUGUACGGCUGGAGUGAAGGAGAGGGAAGGUGAAUUCGUGGGGGGAGGGGGAAAGAACG